UAACUCUAAAGUAAUAGAAAGACAGUGUUAUGGUCACACCAAGCAAGGCUCAGUUAUGCUACCUCAAAAAAUGAACAGCCUUCUAUUAAAGUCUCCUACUUCACCUCUCCUUUGCGGUGAGCUCAUGUUACGAGCUACAGCAUUUUCCAGUAAGUUGACUGCACCUGGCAUGGAAAUAACUGAUUUUGCAGAAUAUCUGCUUUCUGCCAUCCAGGUGACCUUUAUAAGUUCUCACCGGAUUACACGCUGUAAGACACAGCAAGUGCCCCUGCAAUCACACGGGCAUUCAGCACACAACUCUCUUAAGAAGAACGAGAUUCCGUGUGGCGAGCACGUUAGCACUCUGUGAUCAGCUUCUAAGAACAGGCUCCCUGCUCUUUCUAUUUUACUAUUUGUUUGAAACAUUUACAAAUCCUGAAAUAUGAACUGUUACUAGAAAUACUAAAUAGAAAAUGUAUUAACUAUUUGCCCAAUUCUGUUCUGAUAAGUACAGUUAGAGGUGAAAGCUGUCAUCCACAGGUAGUGUUUGCAAAAGAAAAACCUAUUAAAUGAGGCAAAGCUAUGCAAAUAAUCAGUCAUGAUAUAUAUUUUUAAAUUUAUUUUUUAUGUGCAUGAGUGUCUUGUCUGCAUUUAUGCAUGCAUAUUUACGCACGCCUGAUGCUCUUGGAGGCCAGUACACGGAACUGGAUCCCCUGGAACUAGAGAUCAGGAUGCAGCUCUCAGCUAACUUUCCAGCACCAAGCCUGCCUGCUGCUAUGCUGCUAAUGGACUAUGACUCUGAAACUGAAACAAAUCCUCGCCUGCUUGGUCCUGUGGAGUGAGCUGUGGACUGACCAUCAUCCCAGCUUCAGCAGCAGGCCUGGCUAUCCUGGCACAUCAAGAUCUGGCACCUACCCCUGACAUGGACUACAGAUAGAUACCGACACGUUAUGCAUGGCUGUGCUUCAUCAGUUUGGAGUUCCACAGCUGUGCAGAGGGGACAGUCUUCCCUGCAGCACUGCCUGCCCGCCUCACAAAGGCUGCUUCAGCUCGUCCUUUGUUGCCUGAUCAACAACAAGGCCUACUAUCAACAUGGCUGUGCAGGAUGAGCCACCUAGGUGGCACUCACAGAUGACCCAGAGGCCUCUGCAGAACUGCUGGAAAAGCCACUACAGCCAACGUGGACAAAAUCUAAGCUGGGGUGGACGGACUUCCUAUCUGCUACUUAUCAGUCAGCAGCCCCUUAGAGGGUCACUUCGGGGUUCCAUGUUUCCAAGGGUUCCCGAGGAAGAAAUCCAAAGCAUAUACUUAAGGAUUUCCUAUGGCUUAAAUGGUCUAAGAUGCAAGUAGUGUGGCGUGUUUUCAAACCAAAUACUUACCUUAACUAGUCAAGAUAAAAUGAACAUGCCACCUUCCAGACAGCCACUCUCAGCUACCCUGAGUGUGUCUCACAAAGCAUGUGCUUGCCUCCCUGCACGUGUCUCCCCGCACACGCCUCUCUGGUUUUGCAAGGCUGCAGAGGCGAGUGUCUGAGGGCUGGCAUGGGUCAUCUCUCACCAUCUUCUUGGUUUUUAUCUCCUCUCCCCUCUCUCUCUCCUCUCUCUCUCAACUUUUUGUUGAUUCUUUGUAAAUUUUACACCAUGCACCCCAAUCCCACUUAUCUCCCUGACUUUGUAUCUGCCCUGUGACUUUGCAACACCUCUCACAAAG
Mus musculus (house mouse) is the source of this 1689-nucleotide long non-coding RNA. RefSeq annotates it as predicted gene, 46130. The transcript has 5 exons. Lineage: Eukaryota; Metazoa; Chordata; Mammalia; Rodentia; Muridae. The record is from RefSeq and is a predicted model, not a curated record.